This is a non-coding RNA of Callorhinus ursinus (northern fur seal), 73 nucleotides long. NCBI's taxonomy places the organism in Eukaryota, Metazoa, Chordata, Mammalia, Carnivora, Otariidae. The record is from RefSeq and is a predicted model, not a curated record.
UGGUGCUACCGUUCCUUGUGAGACUCUGCCCCGAACACUGGUGGCUUCUUUACGUAGUGCCUGAAAUCACAGC